GACGGUACCUUAUCAGAAAGCGACGGCUAACUAUGUGCCAGCAGCCGCGGUAAUACAUAGGUCGCAAGCGUUAUCCGGAAUUAUUGGGCGUAAAGAGUUCGUAGGUGGUCUUGUCAGUCUGAAGUUAAAGCCCGGGGCUCAACCCCGGCCCGCUUUGGAUACUGCAAGACUAGAGUAUUAGAGAGGUUAGUGGAACUCCAUGUGAAGCGGUGGAAUGCGUAGAUAUAUGGAAGAACACCAAUGGCGAAGGCAACUAACUGGCUAAUAACUGACACUGAGGAACGAAAGCGUGGGUAGCAAACAGGAUUAGAUACCCUGGUAGUCCACGCUGUAAACGAUGAUCACUAGACGGUAGAGGAUUUACUGUCACAGCUAACGCAUUAAGUGAUCCGCCUGAGUAGUAUGCUCGCAAGAGUGAAACUCAAAGGAAUUG
RNAcentral lists this ribosomal RNA (433 nucleotides) under uncultured Mycoplasma sp. RNAcentral's name for it is "bacterial SSU rRNA". It matches the Rfam family "Bacterial small subunit ribosomal RNA", at positions 471 to 912 of the family's 1533-position model. The record is from RNAcentral. Lineage: Bacteria; Bacillati; Mycoplasmatota; Mollicutes; Mycoplasmatales; Mycoplasmataceae.